Long non-coding RNA from Carassius gibelio (silver crucian carp), 747 nucleotides. RefSeq lists it as uncharacterized. The transcript is spliced from 4 exons. The record is from RefSeq and is a predicted model, not a curated record. NCBI's taxonomy places the organism in Eukaryota, Metazoa, Chordata, Actinopteri, Cypriniformes, Cyprinidae.
UCACUUUUUUGACGCACUGGGUAUACCUUUGGCGUUAUUUUUCAACGUGCAGGUUAGUCCGAUAGACUUCUAUAGAACUCAGCAGCGUUUAAAUUUGACGUCUUGGUUCAGCACACCGCAACGACACUGAAUAAAUAAAAAUAAGUAAUAGGCUACAAAAAAAUUAUAUAUGACAGAGAUCGUUUUUAUCUGGCCCUCCAACUUGUUUUUGAGGUUUAAAUAUUCUCGCAAUCUGAUAUCAAAGUGAUCUCUGUGCCAAAGCUUAGCGCGUUCAUCAGUGGUGAGUUUAACAACACUCAACUGCAGGUAAAACAGCAUUCAGCGGUGAGUUUGACCAAAGCAACACUCAACUGCAGGGAAAACGGCAUAAAAAGUUCAUCAUCUCUAUGAAAUCACGUUCAAGAAGUCUCAUUCAGCACACAUCGCGAUACUUGCCAUCAGUUUCCAUGUGCCACAGGGUCGCUGAAAAGAUGUAAAGGAAGCAGUCAUCCCUGUGGUGUUUGUGGAGAGGUAUUUUUUCAGAAAUGGAGAAGACAGAAAGCUGCGGAGGCAGACAUUUGCAGCAGCCAAGUGUUCGAGUGAGCAUGGUGACCACAAGUGUGUGUCGAACUUUUCAUGACCUGAUGACAGUGGUUCCCAAUCCUGAUCCUGGAGAACCCCAGCACUGCACGGUUUUGGUGUCUCUCUUAUCUGACAAACACACUUUUGAGGUCUUGGAGUCUUCACUGAUGAGCUGAUGAGUUGAAU